Molecule: ribosomal RNA, 257 nt
Filed under: uncultured beta proteobacterium
Lineage: Bacteria; Pseudomonadati; Pseudomonadota; Betaproteobacteria
Description: partial 16S ribosomal RNA
Rfam family: Bacterial small subunit ribosomal RNA
Source: RNAcentral
GGCGAAACGGGUGANUAAUGCAUCGGAACAUGUCCAUGUCGUGGGGGAUAGCCCGGCGAAAGCCGGAUUAAUACCGCAUACGCCCGAGAGGGGAAAGCCGGGGACCGCAAGGCCUGGCGCGAUUGGGUUGGCCGAUGCCCGAUUAGCUUGUUGGUGAGGUAAAGGCUCACCAAGGCGAUGAUCGGUAGCUGGUCUGAGAGGAUGAUCAGCCACACUGGGACUGAGACACGGCCCAGACUCCUACGGGAGGCAGCAGU